GGUUAGUUAGUAUAUAUACUCU
Molecule: small nuclear RNA, 22 nt
Filed under: Arabidopsis thaliana (thale cress)
Lineage: Eukaryota; Viridiplantae; Streptophyta; Magnoliopsida; Brassicales; Brassicaceae
Description: snRNA_02190
Source: RNAcentral